UACAGAGGGGGCAAGCGUUAUUCGGAAUUAUUGGGCGUAAAGGGCGCGUAGGCGGCUUGGCAAGUGGAAGGUGAAAUCCCUCGGCUUAACCGAGGAACUGCCCUCCAAACUGCUUUGCUUGAAUCCGGGAGAGGUGAGUGGAAUUCCGAGUGUAGAGGUGAAAUUCGUAGAUAUUCGGAAGAACACCAGUGGCGAAGGCGGCUCACUGGACCGGUAUUGACGCUGAGGUGCGAAAGCGUGGGGAGCAAACAGG
RNAcentral lists this ribosomal RNA (253 nucleotides) under uncultured bacterium. RNAcentral describes it as "partial 16S ribosomal RNA". It matches the Rfam family "Bacterial small subunit ribosomal RNA", at positions 524 to 776 of the family's 1533-position model. The record is from RNAcentral.